GACGAACGCUGGCGGCGUGCUUAACACAUGCAAGUCGAACGGAAAGGCCCUGCUUUUGUGGGGUGCUCGAGUGGCGAACGGGUGAGUAACACGUGAGUAACCUGCCCUUGACUUUGAGAUAACUUCAGGAAACUGGGGCUAAUACCGGAUAGGAGCUCCUGCUGCAUGGUGGGGGUUGGAAAGUUUCGGCGGUUGGGGAUGGACUCGCGGCUUAUCAGCUUGUUGGUGGGGUAGUGGCUUACCAAGGCUUUGACGGGUAGCCGGCCUGAGAGGGUGACCGGCCACAUUGCGACUGAGAUACGGCCCAGACUCCUACGGGAGGCAGCAGUGGGGAAUAUUGCACAAUGGGCGGAAGCCUGAUGCAGCAACGCCGCGUGCGGGAUGACGGCCUUCGGGUUGUAAACCGCUUUCGCCUGUGACGAAGCGUGAGUGACGGUAAUGGGUAAAGAAGCACCGGCUAACUACGUG
This 468-nucleotide ribosomal RNA is filed under the name uncultured bacterium. Its description in RNAcentral is "partial 16S ribosomal RNA". It matches the Rfam family "Bacterial small subunit ribosomal RNA", at positions 28 to 507 of the family's 1533-position model. The record is from RNAcentral.